RNAcentral lists this ribosomal RNA (465 nucleotides) under uncultured bacterium. Its description in RNAcentral is "partial 16S ribosomal RNA". It matches the Rfam family "Bacterial small subunit ribosomal RNA", at positions 28 to 507 of the family's 1533-position model. The record is from RNAcentral.
GACGAACGCUGGCGGCGUGCUUAACACAUGCAAGUCGAACGGAAAGGCCCCGUUGGGGGUACUCGAGUGGCGAACGGGUGAGUAACACGUGAGUAACCUGCCCUUGACUUCGGGAUAACUUCAGGAAACUGGGGCUAAUACCGGAUAGGAAUCCUUUCUGCAUGGUUGGGGGUGGAAAGCUUCGGCGGUUUGGGAUGGACUCGCGGCUUAUCAGCUUGUUGGUGGGGUAGUGGCUUACCAAGGCUUUGACGGGUAGCCGGCCUGAGAGGGCGACCGGCCACAUUGGGACUGGGAUACGGCCCCGACUCCUACGGGGGGCCGCCGUGGGGAAUAUUGCCCAAUGGGCCGGAGCCUGAUGCAGCCACGCCGCGUGCGGGAUGACGGCCUUCGGGUUGUAAACCGCUUUCAGCAGGGGCGAAGCUUGUGGUGACGGUACCUGCAGAAGAAGCACCGGCUAACUACGUG